ACGCUCGACACCUACGGGAGCAGCAGUGAGGGAUAUUGGUCAAUGGGGGAAACCCUGAACCAGCAACGCCGCGUGAGGGAUGACGGUCUUCGGAUUGUAAACCUCUGUCCUCUGUGAAGAUAAUGACGGUAGCAGAGGAGGAAGCUCCGGCUAACUACGUGCCCGCAGCCGCGGUAAUCUGAGCGGGCUGGCAAGGC
This 197-nucleotide ribosomal RNA is filed under the name uncultured bacterium. RNAcentral's name for it is "partial 16S ribosomal RNA". It matches the Rfam family "Bacterial small subunit ribosomal RNA", at positions 328 to 539 of the family's 1533-position model. The record is from RNAcentral.